RNAcentral lists this ribosomal RNA (235 nucleotides) under uncultured bacterium. Its description in RNAcentral is "partial 16S ribosomal RNA". It matches the Rfam family "Bacterial small subunit ribosomal RNA", at positions 99 to 334 of the family's 1533-position model. The record is from RNAcentral.
CGAACGGGUGAGUAACGCGUGAGGAACCUGCCUCAAAGAGGGGGACAACAGUUGGAAACGACUGCUAAUACCGCAUAAGCCCACGGCUCGGCAUCGAGCAGAGGGAAAAGGAGCAAUCCGCUUUGAGAUGGCCUCGCGCCGAUUAGCUAGUGGUGAGGUAACGGCCCACCAAGGCGACGAUCGGUAGCCGGACUGGGAGGUUGAACGGCCACAUUGGGACUGAGACACGGCCCAG